This 442-nucleotide long non-coding RNA is filed under the name Rattus norvegicus (Norway rat). RNAcentral's name for it is "long non-coding RNA NONRATT033244". Lineage: Eukaryota; Metazoa; Chordata; Mammalia; Rodentia; Muridae. The record is from RNAcentral.
CUUUGGUGUCUUAAAAAUGUAGGUCAAAUCUGUUCUUCCAGGAGCUGAAAGGAAAAGGCAUUAUUUGGUUUGGUUAUUACUACAUCACUGAAGGAUAGCCCUUCGGGAAAUGGCUUCUCCUAUUCUAGAUGCAAGCAUCUGAAUUCCAUUCAGGCUCACUACCAGGUGCUGAUUCUUAAGCCUUGACUGACACAUGUGGAAUUAAGGAAGGGUGGUUUAGAAUGAUAUCAUCUUUAAAGCAGCCAUAUGAAAAAAGAAACCUUCACAGAAGUCCAUUCAUACGCUAUUAUAAGACGGACAAGUGAGAAGAACAAUGCGGAGACAAGGACAACUGACAGUGAGGCUGACUGUCCAUGGGCAGGCACUGUGCACCAGAUGCACACAAAUGUCAGUAAUGUGUUUUGUAAAAUGAAAGAGCUUUUUAAUUUAGAAAUGUGUAAUU